CCUUCCGUGAGGGGGAGGGAGUCUGAGCUGGGCGCUGGGGGCCCCCCCAGCGGGGCCGCCCUCGGUGCUGGUGAGGACUCUGGAAGGUGAGCACGGAGCAGGUCCUGAGACCCUCCCCCCCCAACUCCUGGGAACGUGAUGGAGGCAGAGGGCCGUGUGUGGGGAGGACCCAGGGACCAGGGUGCCCGGGGCGGGCAGAGGCCAGAGCCCGUUGGCGUCCUGGGUACUUGGUGACCCUUGAGGCCCGGCCCCGCCUGCACUUCCUGCUGGGAACAAGCACGUCCAGUCAGGCCACGCUGCAGGGUGGCCGCUCACUCGAGUCUGUCACCAGCCACUGGCAUCCCUCGGGAGAACCCCCACCGCCCGGGCCGUAGGAGCGGCCUGCCCUCGGCUCCAGGAAAAAAGGAGACGGACGGACAAGCAGGAGGCUGUGCUGUACCCUGUUCUGUCCACGGCACCCACACAGAACAGCAUCCCUCCUCGGGAAAACAGGCGUGGAAUCCACGUUACCGCUCGGUUAAUGUGUGUUAAGCGGAGCACAGGCGCUAGACGAUGAGCCACGGCCACCGACCGGCCACAGAGGAAGUGAAGGAGGACGUCCGCACUCACAGGUGCCGGGGGAAGUGCCAGGACACGGGGAGACCGUUGACCACAAGGCUUCCGGGAGUCAGCUGCUAAGAGAGACGUGGCAGGCUCAGGGGCCUUUGUGGGCGCGGAGGAAAGGACGCACGGAGGAGUGCCCCCAGCUCCACGCGGCACAAAAGCAGACCCCACGGAUGGUCUCCGGUGACCAGGGGCGUCCCCGGAGCCGGACAGGUGGGGCCGAUGGGAAUUCGGUGCAGGCCACUGCCGGGGCCCCUGUGGGCCGUGGGCGCCUGACGGUGGGACACCGUUUGCCGAGGUGGCCCAGCUGCCCGUGGUGGAGGGCGCUGUCCCGGCCACCGUGCCAUCGGCCCGGCUGCGCCCACUCUGCUCCAUCACCAAGCAAGUGUACCGUGUGCCCUUCAGGAACCCGCUGCCGCCCCUGGGGCCUCCUCCACGGCCAGCGGGGGAGGGGGUCCAGCCGGAAGGGGCCCAGUUCACAGAUGGCCCUAUGUGGUCUCAGACUGUGCCAGAGUCACUGAGGGUCCCCACCUGUUGCCUGCUCCCCAGAGCCCCACGGGGCCUGUUACCCGUCCACGGACCCAGCGCCCUGUCUCGGGUCUGCUCCCGCCAUGGCCCGCACAGCCCCCAGGGUCUGCGGGCCCCUAAAAGCCUCCAGCAACACCACACGAGAUCCUCGAAAGCCCAUUUAAAGCUCAUGGUAAUUACUUCCAGGGGGUUUAUAGCCCCAGAGAGUCUCGUAGCCACGCCCCGCCGUCCAGGAAGGCGAUAUUUCACCAUCAAGGACGCGACCCUGGGUAUUUACAGACGGUAAUGAGACUGUCCACUGCUCGAUGUUGCCAUAAAUAAGCAGGAAAGUGCUGAGUUUCACGCAAUUCUCCCUGAUUGCCUGGAAGGCGUCAUUAUUUUAAUAAAAAAACUAAUCAGCCAGC
Molecule: long non-coding RNA, 1535 nt
Organism: Neofelis nebulosa (Clouded leopard)
Lineage: Eukaryota; Metazoa; Chordata; Mammalia; Carnivora; Felidae
Exons: 3
Source: RefSeq, a predicted model, not a curated record